GAAAUGCGAUAAGUAAUGUGAAUUGCAGAAUUCAGUGAAUCAUCGAAUCUUUGAACGCACAUUGCGCCCGCUAGUACUCUAGCGGGCAUGCCUGUUCGAGCGUCAUUUCAACCCUCAAGCCCUGCUUGGUGUUGGGGCCCUACGGCUGCCGUAGGCCCUGAAAGGAAGUGGCGGGCUCGCUACAACUCCGAGCGUAGUAAUUCAUUAUCUCGCUUAGGGUGUUGUGCGGUGCUCCAGCCGUUAAAGACCAUCUUUAACUCAAGGUUGACCUCGGAUCAGGUAGGAAUACCCGCUGAACUUAA
Molecule: unclassified non-coding RNA, 302 nt
Filed under: fungal sp.
Lineage: Eukaryota; Fungi
Also listed under: 1 other name
Description: partial contains 5.8S ribosomal RNA, internal transcribed spacer 2, and large subunit ribosomal RNA
Rfam family: 5.8S ribosomal RNA (bases 1-105)
Source: RNAcentral